UACGGAGGGUGCAAGCGUUGUCCGGAUUUAUUGGGUUUAAAGGGUGCGCAGGUGGGUCAUUAAGUCUGAUUUGAAAGCGUGUCGCUUAACGAUACGAUGUGGUUGGAAACUGGUGGUCUUGAAUGGCGUAGCGGGAGCCGGAAUGGGUCAUGUAGCGGUGAAAUGCAUAGAUAUGACCCGGAACACCGAUUGCGAAGGCAGGCUCCUGGGCGCUGAUUGACACUGAGGCACGAAAGCAUGGGUAGCGAACAGG
RNAcentral lists this ribosomal RNA (253 nucleotides) under uncultured bacterium. RNAcentral describes it as "partial 16S ribosomal RNA". It matches the Rfam family "Bacterial small subunit ribosomal RNA", at positions 524 to 776 of the family's 1533-position model. The record is from RNAcentral.